GACGAACGCUGGCGGCGUGCCUAAUACAUGCAAGUCGAGCGGAGUUAGAGAAGCUUGCUUCUCUAACUUAGCGGCGGACGGGUGAGUAACACGUGGGCAAUCUGCCCGUAAGACUGGGAUAACUCCGGGAAACCGGGGCUAAUACCGGAUAAUCCUGACUCUCUCCUGAGAGUCAGUUGAAAGAUGGUUUCGGCUAUCACUUACGGAUGAGCCCGCGGCGCAUUAGCUAGUUGGUAGGGUAAUGGCCUACCAAGGCGACGAUGCGUAGCCGACCUGAGAGGGUGAUCGGCCACACUGGGACUGAGACACGGCCCAGACUCCUACGGGAGGCAGCAGUAGGGAAUCUUCCGCAAUGGACGAAAGUCUGACGGAGCAACGCCGCGUGAGUGAAGAAGGUUUUCGGAUCGUAAAACUCUGUUGUUAGGGAAGAAUACAUACGAGAGUAACUGCUCGUACCCUGACGGUACCUAACCAGAAAGCCACGGCUAACUACGUG
Molecule: ribosomal RNA, 496 nt
Filed under: uncultured bacterium
Lineage: Bacteria
Description: bacterial SSU rRNA
Rfam family: Bacterial small subunit ribosomal RNA
Source: RNAcentral